RNAcentral lists this ribosomal RNA (581 nucleotides) under Lactococcus lactis subsp. lactis. RNAcentral's name for it is "bacterial SSU rRNA". It matches the Rfam family "Bacterial small subunit ribosomal RNA", at positions 62 to 630 of the family's 1533-position model. Lineage: Bacteria; Bacillati; Bacillota; Bacilli; Lactobacillales; Streptococcaceae. The record is from RNAcentral.
UUGACGCUGAGGUUGGUACUUGUACCGACUGGAUGAGCAGCGAACGGGUGAGUAACGCGUGGGGAAUCUGCCUUUGAGCGGGGGACAACAUUUGGAAACGAAUGCUAAUACCGCAUAAAAACUUUAAACACAAGUUUUAAGUUUGAAAGAUGCAAUUGCAUCACUCAAAGAUGAUCCCGCGUUGUAUUAGCUAGUUGGUGAGGUAAAGGCUCACCAAGGCGAUGAUACAUAGCCGACCUGAGAGGGUGAUCGGCCACAUUGGGACUGAGACACGGCCCAAACUCCUACGGGAGGCAGCAGUAGGGAAUCUUCGGCAAUGGACGAAAGUCUGACCGAGCAACGCCGCGUGAGUGAAGAAGGUUUUCGGAUCGUAAAACUCUGUUGGUAGAGAANAACGUUGGUGAGAGUGGAAAGCUCAUCAAGUGACGGUAACUACCCAGAAAGGGACGGCUAACUACGUGCCAGCAGCCGCGGUAAUNCGUAGGUCCCGAGCGUUGUCCGGAUUUAUUGGGCGUAAAGCGAGCGCAGGUGGUUAUUAAGUCUGGUGUAAANGCAGUGGCUCANCCNUUGUAUGCNUUGGA